AGAGUUUGAUCAUGGCUCAGGACGAACGCUGGCGGCGUGCUUAACACAUGCAAGUCGAACGGUGAACCGCUUUCGGGUGGGGAUCAGUGGCGAACGGGUGAGUAACACGUGAGUAACCUGCCCUUCACUCUGGGAUAACUCCGGGAAACCGGGGCUAAUACUGGAUAUGACCUACUCGGGCAUCCGAUGUGGGUGGAAAGAUUUAUCGGUGAGGGAUGGACUCGCGGCCUAUCAGCUUGUUGGUGAGGUAAUGGCUCACCAAGGCGACGACGGGUAGCCGGCCUGAGAGGGCGAUCGGCCACACUGGGACUGAGACACGGCCCAGACUCCUACGGGAGGCAGCAGUGGGGAAUAUUGCACAAUGGGCGAAAGCCUGAUGCAGCGACGCCGCGUGAGGGAUGAAGGCCUUCGGGUUGUAAACCUCUUUCAGCAGGGAAGAAGCGAAAGUGACGGUACCUGCAGAAGAAGCACCGGCUAACUACGUGCCAGCAGCCGCGGUAAUACGUAGGGUGCAAGCGUUGUCCGGAAUUAUUGGGCGUAAAGAGCUUGUAGGCGGUUUGUCGCGUCUGCUGUGAAAUUUCGGGGCUCAACCCCGAACUUGCAGUGGGUACGGGCAGACUAGAGUGUGGUAGGGGAGACUGGAAUUCCUGGUGUAGCGGUGAAAUGCGCAGAUAUCAGGAGGAACACCGAUGGCGAAGGCAGGUCUCUGGGCCACUACUGACGCUGAGAAGCGAAAGCAUGGGGAGCGAACAGGAUUAGAUACCCUAGUAGUCC
RNAcentral lists this ribosomal RNA (774 nucleotides) under uncultured bacterium. RNAcentral's name for it is "bacterial SSU rRNA". It matches the Rfam family "Bacterial small subunit ribosomal RNA", at positions 8 to 796 of the family's 1533-position model. The record is from RNAcentral.